Centropristis striata (black sea bass) is the source of this 877-nucleotide long non-coding RNA. RefSeq lists it as uncharacterized. The transcript is spliced from 3 exons. NCBI's taxonomy places the organism in Eukaryota, Metazoa, Chordata, Actinopteri, Perciformes, Serranidae. The record is from RefSeq and is a predicted model, not a curated record.
AACCUUUUUAUUACCAGUGAUGAAGCGUAAAGUUGUGGUCGUGAACGUCAUGAAACAACCGUUGUUGUUCUUUAGAUGAUGCCGCCGCUACCAGCUGUCAGCAGUAAACUGAAAAGGCACCCACGUGGAGGGCUGGAAAAUGACCAAUCAUAAGAGGCCCGGGGUCAGCCUUGGCCCCGCCCCCAAUGUGUCAAAACUCCUCGCUCCGCGCGAGCAGAGCUCCACCGCGAGCGAGCACGGGGGAGAAUCUGCUUCACUCAGUUGCUGAAUAUGUGCACACCUGAUGAUUUCUUACGGCACACUUAUGGGGCGAAACUGAUUGUCUCCUUGUGUUUUGGCUUGAUGUAAAUCCUGUCCGCUGGCUGGACCCGGCCUCUCUGGCUCUUCGUUUGAGAUUUACAGCUUGACCAUUUAUUUACUGAUAAACACUACUUCACCUAAGAGACUUGAGUAUCCAGUUCUUCGUUGACCUUCAGCAUUCAGUCUUCACCUUUUCAGGUAAGCAAUUUAAAAAAAAUGCUUCUAUAAUGUUGAGAAACACUGAAAUUAUUAUUUAUAAAGAACUUUCAACCACUGUUCUCUGAUGUCAUGUAUAGUGAUAUACAAAUAUAUUUGAAGGAACGGUGUAUUUGGGAUAAUCAAUAUUAUUAGUAUUAUUCGUGUAUUUAUUUAUUUUUAAAUCAGAGAAUGGGUGGAAAAUAGAUUCUUAGUACAAAAACUAGUAACUAGUAAAAAAAAAUUGGUAACAAUAAUGUUCAUUCAUUAAUUGACGCUUGGUCAAACUCUCAUCUAAUUAAGUAUUGCUGUCUCAUUAACAUGUUGUAUUUAUUUAUUUUGUAGGCUAAAACCAGAGAAGCCAUCACCAUGUUGUUGUUUG